This 583-nucleotide ribosomal RNA is filed under the name Photobacterium angustum. Its description in RNAcentral is "bacterial SSU rRNA". It matches the Rfam family "Bacterial small subunit ribosomal RNA", at positions 598 to 1180 of the family's 1533-position model. Lineage: Bacteria; Pseudomonadati; Pseudomonadota; Gammaproteobacteria; Vibrionales; Vibrionaceae. The record is from RNAcentral.
AAGCCCGGGGCUCAACCUCGGAACAGCAUUUUGAACUGGCAGACUAGAGUACUGUAGAGGGGGGUAGAAUUUCAGGUGUAGCGGUGAAAUGCGUAGAGAUCUGAAGGAAUACCGGUGGCGAAGGCGGCCCCCUGGACAGAUACUGACACUCAGAUGCGAAAGCGUGGGGAGCAAACAGGAUUAGAUACCCUGGUAGUCCACGCCGUAAACGAUGUCUACUUGGAGGUUGUGGCCUUGAGCCGUGGCUUUCGGAGCUAACGCGUUAAGUAGACCGCCUGGGGAGUACGGUCGCAAGAUUAAAACUCAAAUGAAUUGACGGGGGCCCGCACAAGCGGUGGAGCAUGUGGUUUAAUUCGAUGCAACGCGAAGAACCUUACCUACUCUUGACAUCCAGAGAACUUUCCAGAGAUGGAUUGGUGCCUUCGGGAACUCUGAGACAGGUGCUGCAUGGCUGUCGUCAGCUCGUGUUGUGAAAUGUUGGGUUAAGUCCCGCAACGAGCGCAACCCUUAUCCUUGUUUGCCAGCACGUAAUGGUGGGAACUCCAGGGAGACUGCCGGUGAUAAACCGGAGGAAGGUGGGGAC